GCGGCUGUAGUCUAGCGGUUAGGACUGAAGCUUCCCAAGCUUUAAGCCCGGGUUCGAAUCCCGGCAGCCGCACCA
This 75-nucleotide transfer RNA is filed under the name Thermoplasmata archaeon. Its description in RNAcentral is "tRNA-Gly". It matches the Rfam family "tRNA". From Rfam's summary of the family: Transfer RNA (tRNA) molecules are approximately 80 nucleotides in length. Their secondary structure includes four short double-helical elements and three loops (D, anti-codon, and T loops). Further hydrogen bonds mediate the characteristic L-shaped molecular structure. tRNAs have two regions of fundamental functional importance: the anti-codon, which is responsible for specific mRNA codon recognition, and the 3' end, to which the tRNAs corresponding amino acid is attached (by aminoacyl-tRNA synthetases). tRNAs cope with the degeneracy of the genetic code in two manners: having more than one tRNA (with a specific anti-codon) for a particular amino acid; and 'wobble' base-pairing, i.e. permitting non-standard base-pairing at the 3rd anti-codon position. Lineage: Archaea; Methanobacteriati; Thermoplasmatota; Thermoplasmata. The record is from RNAcentral. RNAcentral also lists the same sequence under 2 other names.